CCACCGUUCUGGACAUUUUGUGAAAUUAAAAAAAAAUAUGUACAAUUUCUAUUUAUCGUAUAACAUAUAAAACUCAGUCAUCAGUGGUGGCGCGGAGGAAGUAUAUUUGAAUCAAGUGAUUCACAAAAAAACAGGUGUACAAAAAUAAAGUUUUUACAAAACAAGUCAAUAGUCAUUGAAAGAAUUUGAUAAAUUUCAUUAGACUCACAAGAAAACUAAUUGAUUUUCCCCUGGGAUAUUUUUGAUAGGGAUGAGUGUGUGUUUAUGUAUAAAAUUAAAUCAGCGAUUCAAGAUAAAAUAUUUCAUGCCUUUACUGGUUAUAGGUAUUUCUAUAUCUCAGUCAGUCUUUUUUGCAU
Cinara cedri is the source of this 356-nucleotide non-coding RNA. The record is from the annotation of a GenBank genome assembly. NCBI's taxonomy places the organism in Eukaryota, Metazoa, Arthropoda, Insecta, Hemiptera, Aphididae.